GCUGAGGGGUGUGCCCGCGGGAGGGCCUACGCGUCGCCGCGGCAACAGCGGAUUGGCGGCGCCGCGGACCAAUCGCAGUGCCCCGAGUGCAACGCCCUGCCGUUCACCUGCGCGGCGGCGGGGUGGAGCUCACCUGAGGCGACGCGCGGUAGGGGCUGUCCGACGUCCGCCAUCUUGGGGAGGAGCCGCCCGCCCCCACUCACCUCGGCCCGGAGGCAGCCUGGCAUGGCGGCGGGCGUCGUGUUGUGUGGGGCUGGUGCCUGGGGUGCUUCCUCCUAAGGGCCAGUGGAGGCGGCCGUAAAACAUUACGAAACCGAUUUUGCAGACAGCCCUUUGUUACAGCCCUUUGAAAGGACAGCGAAGUCACUUCAGUGGACCUCGGAGCACCCAAAUCCCACAGAUUCCACUGAAAUUCAUGCUCCUAAUGUUCCCUGUUCACAGAUGCUUAAUUAUCAACAGACUAAUUUAAUGUAACUAAACCAGACCGAUUUUAAUCAAUAUAAAUGUAAGUAUGUAAAUAAAUAUAAAAAGAAUGUGCAUUUUUUUGAAUCAGUCACCUAAAAUGUCUGUUUUCUCACAGAUGGCAUAUUGGGAAGCCUGAGCCAACUGUUUCUGCAGCAUUCAGAACUGAACUGAUUCCAUCGUUCCUGCAGAGCAAAGAGGCUCUCCCUCCUGUAGGUCUCUCCAUGUGCAAGAGAGGAAUUCAGAGGACUAGAGUGGGUCAGAAGAGUUUCUUGCUUGAGUUAGGUCAUCCACUUAGAAGCACUAGAUCCCACUCACAAUUUAAAGAAAUGUGGUUUGUGAGGGCAAGUUCUUGAAUGAAGAUCUUCCACAGCUGGAAACUUUGCUUUUGCUAGUCUUGCUGGCAGCUCUCAUGUCAGGCUCAGAUCUUCAGAGCUAUUUUCAUGAGAUGAAAGAAAUCUUAAUUAAGUGUUCGUAUCUUUGUUAGCCAGACUCGGAAUGAGAACUGAUGCAUUUCCCAUGAGCUUCACUGCUUGUUAUACCCUGCAGACAACAAAGAUACUGAGAAGAAUAAUGUGAAUGUCAUUUAACAUCCCAAAGCGGUUUUCUACAACUGGAUAGGUUGAUGUGGAACUAUUGAGUGGGGAAAAAAAAUAUAUCUCUCUACUGUCUCUUUCUCUCAUUAAAAAAAAAAAAAAAAAAAAGAAAGAAAGAAAGAAAGAAAGAAAGAGAGAAAAGGAAAAAAAAAGAAAUAAAAGAGCAUUUAGAGAAUGAUUGCAGUGUUUCCUGUAAAAUGGAGAAGAGAGCAUAGUUCAAUAACUUCAGCCCUGCGAAAGAUACCAGUUCCUCCAUGCCACUGGCACACCUCAGGGAAGACAAUUCCUUCUCUUUAAGCAUUAAUUCUCCUCUUUUGCUAGUGCUAGAGAAGAUUUGUGAGGCUAAAUAUAGUAAUAAUUCUGAAGGAUUCAACUCAGCUUGCAGUCAUGACAGCCAGAGCAAACUACCAAGAGAGAUAGAAUGAACUGUUCUUCCCAAAUAGCAAAAAGACCUUGGCAGUCUGGGAGCAGAUCGUCCGCUUCUUACAACAGUAAGAGUAGAAGGUCCUAGACAUACCAACUAGUGAUAAGCAGCUGCAAAAGGAUUCCAGAUCCCUUACAAGCACAGCACUUAACUCUUCCAUCCAUACAUACUGAGAGGGAAGGAGUUUGGAGAUGGUGGUGUUCCUUAUUACCCAGGCUGGUGAAGUGUUUCAAAAUCUACGUCUAGACAGAAAAUUUUAAUUCUGUCUUGAGAGUGCAUGUCAGUGUUUUACCAAACAUAAAGUAUUAUUUUUGAAUUAUCAUAUUCAUAUAGUUCUGUUUGAAUAUAAUCAUACUCAAAAAUAACGUAAUAGCAGAAUAGCUAGGGUCAUGUAAAUAAGAUAGAUACCAGGUUGCAUUCUCCUUCCUGCUCCUCCAUGAUUCAUUUUCAUAAAAAAAAAAAAAGAGUCCAAUGCCUGUAAGACACCAAACAGUACAGCAUGAAGGCUGUUCUAUGCAGAUUUUUGAGAUUCCAUUUUAUUCCAUCUUUUGUUCCAUUCUCAAUCUAUCCGUGGCUAAAAUAUGUAUGGAGUUAUACUGUAGCCAUUAAUUCUUGACUGUGUGCACUGAGUUAUUAUUAGGUUGCAUAUGAAAAAUGAGGCGCUGUUCUCCUUCAGCAUUUUCUGUGCAUGUUUGAAUAAGGGAAAAGCUGCACACCAUGGCCUGAUAAUCUUGUGUAGUCCGUGAGCAUGGUUCAUACUGCUUUAUAAAGAAAACGCUGUGCUGUAUGGGGCUGGGGAAACUGAGGAACAGUGAGAUCAAGUGAUGUCACCACAAAGGCUGGUGAAAGUGAUAGGAGCAAUUCUCCUGUCCUGUGGAUGUGAAAAUACCUGGGCCGAGAGCACGGAUUGGAUUGAUGAUAAGAGGGGAUUGGAGUAAAAGCAAAGCGUUAACAUGAGGAAACAAACAAACAAAAAAAAAAAAACCCACUAAAAUAUGCUAGGUGGGAGAAAAGCUUUCCUGUUCGUGACUCACAGUGAAGUCCUACAUAUCCUGAACUACCAAAUCUUACCACCCUUCUUCUCCAAAAUGGAUCCUGCUAGAAGAAAACAGACGAAUCCAAGCAUUCAGUGAUUUCUUGUGUAAGAGAGAAGAAUGUAUCACAAUGAGUUUUGUGGUUACUGGAUUUUACUUUAUUGAAUUAAACAACAUCAAUUUGGAUCUCUAAAGUAAUGCUCCAAUCAUCUUUCCUUUUUGUUUCAGUUGAUUGCUGUUAACAAUAUGAAUUAUCUGUUACUACAGAUACAUUCCAAACCUUUUAACUUGUAACAGAUGGUUCAGAAAGUCAGGGCUAGAAAAGCAGCUAAAAUAUGACACCAUGAUGUAACACUUUUGUUAACACAAGACUGUUUCUGGGUUACUUGUACUCUCAUGCUCUCUUAAUAUCAAUAACUGAAAAAAAGUUCCCAUAUUCAUUUGCGGAAUCAAAGUUUGCUAACCCAGAAAAGCUAUACUUCAUUUAAAUCAGCCUUCAUACAGCUGAGGAGAAAUAAAAAUGUCUGAAAAUAA
Tympanuchus pallidicinctus (lesser prairie-chicken) is the source of this 3050-nucleotide long non-coding RNA. RefSeq lists it as uncharacterized. The transcript has 2 exons. The record is from RefSeq and is a predicted model, not a curated record. NCBI's taxonomy places the organism in Eukaryota, Metazoa, Chordata, Aves, Galliformes, Phasianidae.